Molecule: ribosomal RNA, 497 nt
Filed under: uncultured bacterium
Lineage: Bacteria
Description: partial 16S ribosomal RNA
Rfam family: Bacterial small subunit ribosomal RNA
Source: RNAcentral
GAUGAACGCUGGCGGCGUGCCUAAUACAUGCAAGUCGAGCGAACAGAUGAGGUGCUUGCUCCUCUGACGUUAGCGGCGGACAGGUGCGUAACACGGGGAGAACCUACAUAUAAGACAAGGAUAACUUCGAGAAACCGGAGCGAAUACCAGAAAAUAUAAUGAACCGCAUGGUUCAAUAGUGAAAGAUGGUCUUGCUGUCACUUCUAGAUCGAACCACGCCGCGUUAGCUGGGUGGUUAGGUAACGGCUUACCAAGGCAAGGAUGCGUAGCCGACCUGGGAGGUUGUCCGGCCACACUGGAAGUGAAACACGGGCCAGACUCCGACUGGAGGACGCAGUAGGGAAUCUCCCGAAAUAGGCGAGAGCCUGACGGAGCAACGCCGCAUGAGUUAUGAAGGUCAUCGGAUCUUAAAACACUGUGAUUAGGGAAGAACAAAUGUGUAAGUAACUAUGCACGUAUUGACGGUACCUGAGCAGAAAGCCACGGCUAACUACGUG